RNAcentral lists this ribosomal RNA (440 nucleotides) under uncultured bacterium. Its description in RNAcentral is "partial 16S ribosomal RNA". It matches the Rfam family "Bacterial small subunit ribosomal RNA", at positions 338 to 795 of the family's 1533-position model. The record is from RNAcentral.
CCUACGGGAGGCAGCAGUGAGGAAUAUUGGGCAAUGGAGGCAACUCUGACCCAGCCAUGCCGCGUGAGUGAAGAAGGUUUUCGGAUUGUAAAGCUCUUUCGGAUGUGACGAUGAUGACGGUAGCAUCUAAAGAAGCACCGGCUAACUUCGUGCCAGCAGCCGCGGUAAUACGAAGGGGGAAGGCGUUGUUAGGAAUGACUGGGCGUAAAGGGAGGGUAGGCGGUUUAGUAGGAUAUUGUUGAAAUCCCGGGGCUUAACCUUGGAAUUGCCAUUAUAAAUAUUAGACUAGAAUUACAGAGAGGAUAGUGGAAUACCCAGUGUAGAGGUUAAAUUCGUAGAUAUUGGGUAGAACACCAGUGGCGAAGGCGACUAUCUGGCUGUACAUUGACGCUGAGGCUCGAAAGCAUGGGGAUCAAACAGGAGUAGAUACCCCUGUAGUC